This 271-nucleotide ribosomal RNA is filed under the name uncultured bacterium. RNAcentral describes it as "partial 16S ribosomal RNA". It matches the Rfam family "Bacterial small subunit ribosomal RNA", at positions 1223 to 1500 of the family's 1533-position model. The record is from RNAcentral.
UGUUACAAUGGCAGGUACAGAGGGAUGCUACCGGGCGACCGGAUGCGGAUCUCGAAAGCCUGUCCCAGUUCGGACUGGAGUCUGCAACCCGACUCCACGAAGUUGGAUUCGCUAGUAAUCGCGCAUCAGCCAUGGCGCGGUGAAUACGUUCCCGGGCCUUGUACACACCGCCCGUCAAGCCAUGGGAGCCGGGGGGCGCCUGAAGUCCGGGACCGCGAGGACCGGCCUAGGGCGAAAACUGGUAACUGGGGCUAAGUCGUAACAAGGUAAC